Molecule: long non-coding RNA, 199 nt
Filed under: Vigna radiata
Lineage: Eukaryota; Viridiplantae; Streptophyta; Magnoliopsida; Fabales; Fabaceae
Description: long non-coding RNA (VRAD_LNC007408)
Source: RNAcentral
GAUAAUUUAACAAGAAAUUAGACGUUAGUUGCCCAUAAAGCCGACGUCUAUAAUCGCAUAUACGUCGGGUGCCUCAUUAAUGUGACGUCCAUUCCAUUUAAAAAUUAAUAUUUUUGUUACAUAUAGACGUCGACUUGGCGGGACAAGACGUCUAGUGGGCGGAAACGAAUGACUUUUCACAAACCUGGUUAGACUAAAG